AGCAGCCGCGGUAAUUCCAGCUCCAAUAGCGUAUAUUAAAGUUGUUGCGGUUAAAAAGCUCGUAGUUAGAUUUUUGGCAUCCGCUACUGGUCGGCCGUAAGGCUGUACCUAGUAAGCGGGUGCCUUCGCUGGUGUUGCACCGCAUCCGUGCAGUGCAAGGCCGGCUCUUUACUUUGAGGAAAUUAGAGUGUUUCAAGCAGGUUUCUGCCUUGAAUACAUUAGCAUGGAAUAAUGAAAUAGGACGGAUUGAUUCUAUUUCGUUGGUUUCUAGGAUCACCGUA
RNAcentral lists this ribosomal RNA (281 nucleotides) under uncultured Glomus. RNAcentral's name for it is "partial small subunit ribosomal RNA". It matches the Rfam family "Eukaryotic small subunit ribosomal RNA", at positions 569 to 864 of the family's 1831-position model. The record is from RNAcentral. Lineage: Eukaryota; Fungi; Glomeromycota; Glomeromycetes; Glomerales; Glomeraceae.